This 69-nucleotide transfer RNA is filed under the name Camelus bactrianus (Bactrian camel). It matches the Rfam family "tRNA". From Rfam's summary of the family: Transfer RNA (tRNA) molecules are approximately 80 nucleotides in length. Their secondary structure includes four short double-helical elements and three loops (D, anti-codon, and T loops). The record is from Rfam by way of RNAcentral. RNAcentral also lists the same sequence under 2 other names. Lineage: Eukaryota; Metazoa; Chordata; Mammalia; Artiodactyla; Camelidae.
GAGGGUAUAGCUCAGUGGUAGAGUUUGUACCUAGCAACAAGGUCCUGGGUUCAAUCCCCAGUACCUCCA